Ribosomal RNA from Myotis lucifugus (little brown bat), 118 nucleotides. The record is from Ensembl. Lineage: Eukaryota; Metazoa; Chordata; Mammalia; Chiroptera; Vespertilionidae.
GUCCACAGCCAUACCACCCUGAAUGAGCCCCAUCUCCUCUGAUCUUGGACGCUAAGCAGGGUAGACAUGGUUGGUACUUGGAUGGGAGACCUCCUGGGAAUACAGGGUGCUGUAGGCU